Molecule: non-coding RNA, 193 nt
Organism: Chelonoidis abingdonii (Abingdon island giant tortoise)
Lineage: Eukaryota; Metazoa; Chordata; Testudines; Testudinidae
Source: RefSeq, a predicted model, not a curated record
CUUAAUCUUUUUGAAAUUAAUCUUUAAAAUCAAAAUGCAAUAGCCUAUUUUUUGGUGUAUGAAAUUAUUACUCAUCCUGUUUAGGGUGAGUCCAUUAUGCCAUUUAAAGUCUAAUUGGAAUUAAGCACUUUCAGAUUCUUAUGUGCAAUGUAUUCACAUGUGUAAAUUUAAAAAAUAAAAUUCUAUUAAAAUA